Balaenoptera ricei (Rice's whale) is the source of this 1186-nucleotide long non-coding RNA. RefSeq lists it as uncharacterized. The record is from RefSeq and is a predicted model, not a curated record. NCBI's taxonomy places the organism in Eukaryota, Metazoa, Chordata, Mammalia, Artiodactyla, Balaenopteridae. The transcript has 8 exons.
GCCCCAACGGCCGUCCGGCGGGGGCGGGGCCUGUCAUGGCGGCCUCGAGAGUCAAUUCCAGGAACCCUGAGGAUGAACUGACCCUUUUAUUCACUAUUCCACAUCGAGCUGCAAACCCAUCAGAUGGAACCAUGUGAUCAUUGUGGCCACCAGCUGACCCCACAGCCACCUUGUGCCUCCCUUGGACCCACCCAGGAAUUUCUGAGCCUUCUUUAUGGGCCUGGCAGGCUAGGCACUAAUUGCAUGUUGACUGACCAGCUACUCUUCUGGGUCUGGAAUGAGGCUUCAAGGACCAAGGAACUGUGGAGGAUCCUAGCUCCCCGACCAGGGAUAGAACCCAGGCCCUCAGCAGUGAAAGCGCAGAGUCCUAACCACUGGACCACCAGGGAAUUCCCUGAAAGCUCAUUCUUGUCUGAAGAGUACUGUUCUGUGUGGCCCCAGAUAAAUUUUUCCAGGCAGCUGUGUCUGAGACGCUGGUCCUCCUGUAAAGCCUCCCAGACGACCCUGGGCACACAGACAUGGAAACAGUACUAUCUCUGCUGAUCCGAGCUGGAGUUCCGAAUGGAAUCUGGGUGGCCAGAGAAGGACUUUAUCUGCAAAGCCAUUGCUGGGCACAAAGGAGAGAUAGAUGAGCUGGCCUACAUCUCAACCAGAGUACUGGUUUGAUGGGUGGGAGAAGUCCGUGGUGUGCACCGUGUCGUCAGAUGGCACCGUGUGUGCCUGGGAUCUGCAAGAGGGCACGGAGAUCUGUCGAGCCCUCUACAGCCUGCAGCUCUGGUGAAUUUGGUGACUUACCCUCGGCUGCAACUGGUUGUCACCGUGGACGAGCAGGGACUGAUCAAAGUAUGGAAAGCAGAGAACGGGUGUGAGCAUGCCUCCUGCCUGCCUACAUACUCGUCUUCAUUGGAGGCCUGUGACUUUCCAGAAGGCCCCCUCCUGCUGUCUCCACGAGGGCCCAACUCAAAGGAAAACUGAGGCAUGUUCGACAGAAUGCAAGCAUUUGCCUCAGAUGAUGAAGGCCUUCUGCUGCCAGGACAUUUGUUUUAGAGGUGAUUCUUGGGCAUUGGGAGGGAGCAUUUGGCCAGAGAGAAAUGGCAAAAGUGGGUGUUAGCUGGCAGAUUGAGGAAGUAGCUUUCACCUGGGGGCAGUAUCCUCCUCCUGGAGGGAAGGAGGUCUUUGCAAGUGU